This 646-nucleotide ribosomal RNA is filed under the name uncultured Actinobacillus sp. RNAcentral's name for it is "bacterial SSU rRNA". It matches the Rfam family "Bacterial small subunit ribosomal RNA", at positions 28 to 661 of the family's 1533-position model. Lineage: Bacteria; Pseudomonadati; Pseudomonadota; Gammaproteobacteria; Pasteurellales; Pasteurellaceae. The record is from RNAcentral.
AUUGAACGCUGGCGGCAGGCUUAACACAUGCAAGUCGAACGGUAACAGGAAGAAAGCUUGCUUUCUUUGCUGACGAGUGGCGGACGGGUGAGUAAUGCUUGGGAAUCUGGCUUAUGGAGGGGGAUAACUACGGGAAACUGUAGCUAAUACCGCGUAGUAUCGGAAGAUGAAAGUGUGGGACCGCAAGGCCACAUGCCAUGAGAUGAGCCCAAGUGGGAUUAGGUAGUUGGUUAGGUAAAGGCUGACCAAGCCGACGAUCUCUAGCUGGUCUGAGAGGAUGACCAGCCACACUGGAACUGAGACACGGUCCAGACUCCUACGGGAGGCAGCAGUGGGGAAUAUUGCACAAUGGGGGAAACCCUGAUGCAGCCAUGCCGCGUGAAUGAAGAAGGCCUUCGGGUUGUAAAGUUCUUUCGGUGAUGAGGAAGGUGUUUGUUUUAAUAGGACAAGCAAUUGACGUUAGUCACAGAAGAAGCACCGGCUAACUCCGUGCCAGCAGCCGCGGUAAUACGGAGGGUGCGAGCGUUAAUCGGAAUAACUGGGCGUAAAGGGCACGCAGGCGGUGACUUAAGUGAGAUGUGAAAGCCCCGGGCUUAACCUGGGAAUUGCAUUUCAUACUGGGUCGCUAGAGUACUUUAGGGAGGGG